Molecule: ribosomal RNA, 775 nt
Filed under: uncultured Neocallimastigales
Lineage: Eukaryota; Fungi; Neocallimastigomycota; Neocallimastigomycetes; Neocallimastigales
Description: partial large subunit ribosomal RNA
Rfam family: Eukaryotic large subunit ribosomal RNA
Source: RNAcentral
UACUAGAGUAGCACUCGCAUAUCAAUAAGCGGAGGAAAAGAAACUAACAAGGAUUCCCCUAGUAACGGCGAGUGAAGCGGGAAGAGCUCAAAUUUGAAAUCUUAAAGGGUUUCCCUUUACGAAUUGUAGUUUAAAGAAGUGGUUUCUGUUGAGGUUUUGGUAAAAGUUCUUUGGAAUAGGACAUCAUAGAGGGUGAGAAUCCCGUAUUUGACCUUUACUUUCAACUUUGUGAUACACUUUCAAAGAGUCGGAUUGUUUGGGAAUGCAGUCCAAAAUGGGUGGUAAAUUUCAUCUAAAGCUAAAUAUUGGCGAGAGACCGAUAGCGAACAAGUACCGUGAGGGAAAGAUGAAAAGAACUUUGAAAAGAGAGUUAAACAGUACGUGAAAUUGUCAAAAGGGAAGCGUUUGACACCAGUGUUGUUUUUCUGAAAAUCAAUUAAAGAACUGUUUAUGCUAAGUUGUUUAGACUUUAUCAGCUAAUCUGUUUAGUUUUGAGCUUUUCUUUAAUGCACUUUUCAGUUAGCAAGUCAACAUCAAUUUCUUUUGCUGUAAAAAAGCUUGAGGAAGGUGGCUUGAGAUUCGUCUUAAGUGUUUAUAGCCUCUUGCCUAUGCAGUCGGAGAGAUUGAGGUCUGCAGCGUAGAUCCUUCGGGGCUAAAUGCAUUUGUGCUAAGUUAUAGCAUUUUAUAGACAACUUGUUGACUAUGAUUUGUCUUGUAGCUUACUCGCUUAUGUUAUUUUACCUACGCUUAGGAUGUUGAGCGCAUGUCUCUCUCU